GCACGAGGCUACGCAACUAAAUGUAGGAUCAAAAUAUCGCCUCUUAAGUGAACUUUUACAUAUAAAAAAGGGAAGGGGUGCGCUUCACUGCAGGUAGGUCUCUAAAUACCUUCUGUGCGCGAGUCUGUCCACAGGUGUGUGCGUCGUGUGUGUCUGUAAGCAGGUGCUUAAACUGAAAAGUGGUUACAUGAUGGACGUUGUCCCUGCUGCCAAAGCCCUGGGAGAACAGCAGAGGUCUACAGAAUGAAAAACUUAAAGAUGUACAGUACAUUCAACAUAAAUUAUUCAAAUAUUGAGAUUCGUAAGCCAGGUGUAAGACGGGACCACUGCAGGAACAACCUCCAUCAUAGGCUGGCAAGGGAACAUCUGUAGCCUCUUCAGGGGACAGCAACCGAACAACCGGUAUGGAAAUACAGCGUCACAACAACACAGCUGUGUGCUGUGAGAAUCAACUCUAUCCAGUGGCAGAGCUCUCAUAUUGUGGAGAGAAGGCUUUCAACCCAGAAGAAGCCACUUGUUGCCCAUAUGAAAAUGGAAGCACCAUAACAGAGGGCCUUAGUGAAAAGGUGUCAGCUUGCUGUGGACUGAAGGCAUACGACCAGCUCAAUCAAAUAUGCUGUCACGGAACCAUCCUAGUCAAACCUGGGCCAAACGCCCAAUGUUGUGAUAAAAAGGCUUUUGAUGUCGACGAGCAGAUGUGUUGUGGACCGCUGACCAAUAAGACAAUCCUAACAAAAGAAUCCUCAGACCACCGAUGCUGUGGACAAAACAGUUUUAACCCAACGACUCAAUGCUGCUGUUCGAUAAAUGAAAGUCUAAGCAUAUGGUCCAAGGAUUCCAGCUGCUGCGAGAAGGCUGACUGUGGACAGAACACCUACAACACAAGCGACAAACUAUGCUGUCAAUCAACGGUUGUUAGCAAAAAUGUAUCAAAUGCCCAAUGCUGUGGUAAACAGGCGUUUAAUAACGACACACAAUUGUGUUGUGGUCCUUCUGAUGACAAGAUAAUCCUGGAGAGAAUCUCUAUUGACCACCUCUGUUGUGGACGUAACCGGUUCGACACCAACAAGGAGUGCUGCUGUUUGACAAAGGAAGGUCUUCAGAUACAACAGAUCAAUUCCAGCUGCCGUCGGGAUCAGGGUCAAUCUUCUGAUGCCACUGCUGUGUUUAACCCACACAUAGGUGUCUGCUGUGGACGCUGUGUGUCUGAUUGGAACCCUUCGACAGAUCAACUUCAUGGCCCGCCUGGACAACAUAGCUGCAGGACGAAAGUUUAUCGGCCUCACGCGGGGAUCAUUUGCGAUGGACCAAGGACUCCUCACUUCUGUGGGUCAAAAGCCUACGACAUUAAAGACCCAGGAAUGAAGUGCUGCGCAGGAACAUUGCACAACCUCACUCAAGUACCAGAGGCGCAGUGCUGUGGCUCCAUCCUGCAAAACAAACCGAACGUAUGCUGUUUGAGUGAGCACAUGGAGGUGCUCUACUCCAACAAGACGAAAUUUGAAUGCUGUGGUCACCUCUACUACAACACCUCCCUAUGGUCAUGCUGUGCAGGGACGCUGAGCGCUGUGCCUCCACGAGGACAGCAUCCGAAAUCCAUACUUCGAUCUUUGGGCAAUUUGAAUGAGACGGAUCUUUGUGGCAAACUGCAAGUCGGGAUUGUGGAAAGGGACGGCCUGAAUGGGAUCGUAUUCAACAGUGUGUUGAUAAUCCAUGGAAGGAAUGGCAGUGUGAUACCCAGGAGCGGGCUUCACACCCUGAGUACAGGAACCGAUGGCUGCAGCAACGCAAAACUGGUCCCUGGGAAGAGCUACUUCUUUGAUGACGUUAAAGUAAAUGUCUUCACAGAUCUCAACCACGACUCUAUUCUCCAGUCCAUCUAUUUCAUUAUUUCUAAGUGUCAUACGAAUAUAUAAGAUUAUAGACUUUAUGUUCAGGGUCGGACGAUUUACUAACUAAUCUAACAUGCAGCUAAUUUAUAGAUGUUGAGUUUUGGAUUAACACCAUUUGUUAAAAAACAACUGUGGAGUUAUCAAAAGCAAUAUUCCUUGUCUCUUAGCAGAGGACAGCCAUUAUCAAUUAUCAGGCUGGAGCUUGUUCACUAAGUCCACAUAUUAGUCUGUUAACUUAUGCACAUCAAUAAAACUACUCUCAAAUUGUGAAGUAGCAG
Long non-coding RNA from Gasterosteus aculeatus aculeatus (three-spined stickleback), 2170 nucleotides. The record is from Ensembl. NCBI's taxonomy places the organism in Eukaryota, Metazoa, Chordata, Actinopteri, Perciformes, Gasterosteidae.